Molecule: ribosomal RNA, 424 nt
Filed under: uncultured bacterium
Lineage: Bacteria
Description: bacterial SSU rRNA
Rfam family: Bacterial small subunit ribosomal RNA
Source: RNAcentral
UGGGGAAUAUUGGGCAAUGGAGGAAACUCUGACCCAGCAACGCCGCGUGGGUGAUGAAGGCCUUCGGGUCGUAAAGCCCUGUCGGGGGGGACAAAACGUCGGUUUAACAAUCCGACCUGAUUUAACCCCCUGAGGAAGCACCGGCUAACUCUGUGCCAGCAGCCGCGGUAAUACAGAGGGUGCAAGCAUUGCUCGGAAUUAUUGGGCGUAAAGGGCGUGUAGGCGGUUCGAUAAGUCAGGUGUGAAAUCCCUGGGCUCAACCCAGGAACUGCAUUUGAUACUGUCGGACUUGAGUACGGUAGAGGAUAGUGGAAUUCCCGGUGUAGAGGUGAAAUUCGUAGAGAUCGGGAGGAACACCAGUGACGAAAGUGGCUAUCUGGGCCGUUACUGACGCUGAGACGCGAGAGCGUGGGGAGCAAACAGG